RNAcentral lists this ribosomal RNA (274 nucleotides) under uncultured bacterium. Its description in RNAcentral is "partial 16S ribosomal RNA". It matches the Rfam family "Bacterial small subunit ribosomal RNA", at positions 523 to 796 of the family's 1533-position model. The record is from RNAcentral.
AUACGAAGGUGGCGAGCGUUGUUCGGAUUUACUGGGCGUAAAGCGCGCGUAGGCGGCUUAUCAAGUUAGGCGUGAAAGGCCUGGGCUCAACCCGGGAACUGCGCUUAAUACUGGUAGACUUGAGUCCGGGAGAGGGUGGCGGAAUUCCCAGUGUAGAGGUGAAAUUCGUAGAUAUUGGGAAGAACACCAGUGGCGAAGGCGGCCACCUGGCCCGGUACUGACGCUGAGGUGCGAAAGCGUGGGGAGCAAACAGGAUUAGAUACCCCGGUAGUCC